GCGGGUGUAGUUUAGUGGCAAAACAGAAGCUUCCCAAGCUUCCGUCGCGAGUUCGAUUCUCGUCACCCGCU
This 71-nucleotide transfer RNA is filed under the name Enterococcus hulanensis. Its description in RNAcentral is "tRNA-Gly". It matches the Rfam family "tRNA". Rfam says of the family: Transfer RNA (tRNA) molecules are approximately 80 nucleotides in length. Their secondary structure includes four short double-helical elements and three loops (D, anti-codon, and T loops). Further hydrogen bonds mediate the characteristic L-shaped molecular structure. tRNAs have two regions of fundamental functional importance: the anti-codon, which is responsible for specific mRNA codon recognition, and the 3' end, to which the tRNAs corresponding amino acid is attached (by aminoacyl-tRNA synthetases). tRNAs cope with the degeneracy of the genetic code in two manners: having more than one tRNA (with a specific anti-codon) for a particular amino acid; and 'wobble' base-pairing, i.e. permitting non-standard base-pairing at the 3rd anti-codon position. Lineage: Bacteria; Bacillati; Bacillota; Bacilli; Lactobacillales; Enterococcaceae. The record is from RNAcentral.